AAGCAGGCAGCGUGGUUUGGCUGUGCUGCCUUCCAGCACUGAGUGAGAUGCUCAAGCUGCCACGCUGGUGGAACUGUGAGAAGUGAACACAGCAGCUUGUAGCACGUGAGAGACGUUUUCCAUUUGGUUUGCAGCAUCUCCUGUGUCACCAGUCAUAUGAGAGGGGACACCAGCCUUAGCUGUGCUUACAGCAGAUUUUUUUCCUUCUCUUAUUGUGGACAAAGGAGUAGUUCAUCCUCCUAAUCAGAAAACAAAGCCUAAUCUGCAGAGAUCCAGCUAAUCUGGUCAUUCCUGCUGGAAGAAUAGCACAGAGCCAUUGCACCAAGUUAUGCCGUGCAAAAGAUGGGAGUGGGCUGCAGCCGGUGCUGCUCUACUCUGAGCUCCUGUUGUGGCCGUCCCCCUGACUGCAUAAUGGGGGCUUUCAAACCCCAGCUUUUAUCACUUUCUGUUUUCUGUACUUUGCCCUUUUAUGAAUAUUGAGUCAUCAAAAAUAGCUUCAGUGACAGAGUUACUAAUGGUACCAGCUGGGUGAAUCAGUGGCUCCUGCAGUGUCUGGUGCCUGCUGCACAGGGCUAUUAGCACCCCCGGGACAACACACGACGAGAAUUACACGUCCAGAUUUUAUCUGCAGCUCCCUUGAGACACAUCGCCGUGGUUAUUUUAGAACUGGAAAACGUCAGUGGAACAAAGCAAAUAUUCGGCCAUUUCAAUGCUGUAUUACCAUCAAAGAGAAGAAACUCCAGCUUAGAAGAAACAGAUGCAGCGCGGAGCGGGAGCGGUUCUCUCGGAGCAGCGGCAGCCCCCGUACCCAGGGGCAGCAGGGGCUGGGCAGCACGGCCCCUUGCCCUCCCCGCUCCCCUGCACAGCCGCCCCGGCAGCACCGCUAAGUGACCGCCCCUGGCGCACUGAGCUGCUACAUUAAAGUAUCCCGACCGCGGCCGUUAGCGAGCGUUACAGGCAUCUUAACAAAGCUGAGCCUCCGAAUGGAAUGUGCUGCCUUUUUCCCCCCCCACCUUUUUUUCUUUCUUUUUUUUUUUUUCUUUUUUUUUUUUCCCAGGGAGGCUCAUGCUCUUCCAUGGGGAAAAUGCGUCCGAAAUUCUGUUACGAGGCUGUUGGCUACGGUAACGUUAACUGAAAGCGAGCUGCGGUUUUUAACCUAGAGCACAUUGCAUAACAACAGCUGGGCUGCGCCCGAGGAACCGCCAAGGAGCGCGGACGGGGCACCGCAGCCCGCGGGCGCACGGACGGACAUCGGCUCCGGUCCGCUCGGGCCGGGACGCGCCGGGAACGGCAGCCCCGCGGGCAGGGACGGGCUCCGCUCUCACUUACAUAUCGCUUCAGCUUCCUCUCGGGAGGUGACUUGAUGAGCCAGCCGGUGCAAACGACGUCCCCGGAGCUCAUCUUCCCCCCGCUCCGAGCGCGGGUCCGCGAGUGCGCGGCCGCGCCUCGUUCCCCGGCGAUCGGCGAGCUUCCUCCGGCCCCGCUCCCACAGCGCUCCGGCCCGGGGAGGAAGUCAUGACAUUGAUCACUGACACGGCCGGCCCUCCUCCCUCCGCCGCGAACACAAUGCAGCACACCGAACACGUGAUGGGGACGACGGGGACCGACGGCCGGGCGGGGUCCCGCCGGUGGCCCCGCCCGAAAGAUGCGGCGCCUCGGGCGGUGAGAGCGGGGGGCCGAUACCCGGCGAUGGGGCCGGUACCCGGGCAUGGUGACGGUACCCGGGCAUGGAGCCGGUACCCGGGGGUGCCGCCGGGAUCGAGGCUCCCACCCUCCCGAGCGCCUGCCCGCAGCAAGACGUGCCUCGCUGCUUCUUUGCUCGGCUGAGGGCUUAUUGGUUUGUCUUUUUUCCCUCCUCCCUAGAAACUUCCUAGAAUAAAUGAAUAAGCCGAGAAGCCCGCAUCGAUAACCGUGGGCACUGUUAGAGAGCAGGAUUGAAGUGCUGAGGUCCGCACCAAUCUGCUCUGAUACGUGCCAAUGGCAAAGACCAGCAAAGGGGGAUCAGUCUGACCCCAAACACAGGCGCAGUUCACCUCAGCCGGUACCUAAGAGGAGUUCUCUUCUUUCACUUAAAGUUUUCUCCGCUUCCCCUCCUUAGGCUCCUGAUGUUUCACAGAAAAACAACCCCUGACUACUGGUAAGCCAGAAGAGAACAAAUUGCCUGAUUGCAUUUUGUGGAAAGCAGGAAGGAGAGCAAUACUUUACAUGAUGUAAUAUAGAGAGGACAAGGAGGAAUGGCUUUAAACUAAGAGAGGGGACAUUUAGGUCAGAUGUGAGGAAGAAAGUCUUUACUCAGACGGUGGUGAGGCCCUGGCACUGCUGAACAGCGCUGUCGUUGCCCCAUCCCCAGAGGUGUGUAGGGCCACGGAUGGGGCCCUGGGUAGCCUGAGCUGGGGGAGCAGCCAGCCCACGGCAGGGGUUGGAUCUCAAUGAUCUUUGAGGUCCCUUCUGAUCUCAGCCAUCCUGUGAUUCUAUCAUUCCCCCAUGUCCCCACACGCACUUGACUGGAACACACAGGCAUGCUAUUUGAACCUGCUCAUUUCCAUAUUGCAGAGCUAAUGGUGCUGUAGUGAAUGCUGAGAACAGUGUGAAGGCCCUCGCUGUGCUGCUGAGAGAGGAGCACUCAGGAGGGAGAAGAAGGGCAGAACUUAUUUGGUUCACAAAUGAGUGGGUAUCGAAACAGGAAGAGAUGCCAGAGUAAUCCAAGCUGACAUUCCCACAAGCAAAUGUUUUUUCCACAUCUGGACUAAAACACAUCUUUUAAAAAGCUAUCUAAUCUGACCUUCAGUAUGUCAAGCAAUGGUGAGGGAAGAGAUUUCCUUGUAGCCUGUUCCUGUUCUUCUACUGAGUAUGUUACAUUUUAUUUGAAAUCUAAAUCCAUCUAAUUUUGACCUUCUG
Non-coding RNA from Coturnix japonica (Japanese quail), 2898 nucleotides. The record is from RefSeq and is a predicted model, not a curated record. NCBI's taxonomy places the organism in Eukaryota, Metazoa, Chordata, Aves, Galliformes, Phasianidae.